Molecule: ribosomal RNA, 254 nt
Filed under: uncultured bacterium
Lineage: Bacteria
Description: partial 16S ribosomal RNA
Rfam family: Bacterial small subunit ribosomal RNA
Source: RNAcentral
UACGUAGGGUGCGAGCGUUGUCCGGAAUUAUUGGGCGUAAAGAGCUCGUAGGCGGUGUGUCGCGUCGGUCGUGAAAACUUGGGGCUUAACCCUGAGCUUGCGGUCGAUACGGGCAUCACUGGAGUUCGGCAGGGGAGACUGGAAUUCCUGGUGUAGCGGUGAAAUGCGUAGAUAUCGGGAGGAACACCAGUGGCGAAGGCGACUACCUGGCCUGUUCUUGACGCUGAGGCGCGAAAGCUAGAGGAGCAAACGGG